CCAAUACCACCCCCGGAUCUCCUGCCGGCGCCGCUCCCCAUCCCGGCGCCCAACCCCUCCAUGCCGUCGCUCUCCUCCCGGCGCCGCUCCCCUCCACCGCCCAGCUCCCGUCCUGGCGCCGCACCCUCCCCGCGCCGUUGCUCUCCUCCCGGCGGCGCUCGCCGCCUCCGACGGCGCUCCCCCCACCACGGCCACAUUUUUUUUUGGCUAGUCCGCAGUCCCUCCUAGCGCCGCACCAACCUCCCGCGCCGUCGGUCUCCUCUGGGCGCCGCUCGCCUCCCCCACCGGGGAUGGGGGAGUGCACUUCCUCGGUGACAACGGCGCCGCCGAGGUCGCGCGGCUUACGACAAGGAGGUCGACCGCUGUGUCGUGGGCAAGAUGCAGCACAAGUGAGCGAGCGAGCGGGUGCCUAGAUUAGCUUCGCCCUUCGUCUUCCUCCACUCCUCCAUUUCCUCGCCCCCCGACGGAAUCUAGAUUUUCUUCUCUCGGGGUCGAAUCGCCCGGCUCUGCGAGGCCGUCCGAUUUCGCUCGGUGGAUUGGGUCCUUCGUACUUCCCCGAUCUGUGUCGGGUUCGUUUCGCUGAGCUUGUUCUCAUGGGAAUGAAUUUUGUGCUGCUUCUGCAAGUGCGAGCAUUACCGGCGGAGGUGUAAGAUCGUGGCGCCAUGCUGCAAUUAGGUGUUCCCCUGCCGCCACUGCCAUAACGAGGCCACGAGCAGUAUAGCAGGAAACUUAUCUGCACAGGCGCCUUGGUUGUUCAAAUCGAGUAGCUGGUGCACUCCUGUCAUCUGCUUAUACGUGAGCCCAGCGGAACAUAAAGUUUCAGACUAACGACCAAUCCGCAAGCAUCAGAAUACUACAACAGGCUGUAGCAACUAUGUACCUUGCCUGAAGCGCACCUGGUGAUUUACAUAGAACAAUAUUACAUAAUGGUAUGCAACGAUGUGCCCUGCUUGAAGUGCGCAUAUACAUCAGAGAUAUGUGAAACUGUAGAAUCUUGACAGGUAGUUGCCAUCUCCAAUCUAGUGUACAUGCAUGAAGAAUUUCAUUGCUCAGCGAUGCCAAUUUAAUUUAUCGGGUUUCGACUUUAAGCACAGAUAUUGGCAAACAUCUUGUUUGAGAACAUUUUCUGAAAUUUUGUAGUGACUGCAUGCCCCACCUUAACCAAGGCGUGCGAAUGCACUUCAUUUCUGUUUGGUUUGUGUCAUGAUCUGAUCUGGAAGCAUCUGAUCUGAUAAAAUGGCCCUUCAAAUCAAACAGGGUGUAAAUGUGGCACAAGUCAUGAUUCGUUUGUUUCCAUUUUCAGAUGUCAUGAUAGGUCUUCACUCUUCACCUUCAUCUGCCUCAAACAUUGAGGGUGGUAGUAACGAGAUGAUGCACAACAAUUUGCAGUGAUGCAGGAUCUAGCUCCCAGCAGAGGAAAAAGUGUGGCGACCCCUUGUUUCAGGUGCCUUGUCCCUUUAUAUUUUCUUCUAUUGUCGCGUUAUCCCUUUGUUUUUUCUUCUAUUGUCAACUAGCAUUGUAUUCAUUGUGUGAAACUCCACUUGGUGGAUGUCGUUAAGGGCUGACUUUUAAUUUGGGCUUAUUAACUCCCGAUUUCAACUUCUGUUAGUGGUUGUAGAUCACCAUCAUCAUCCCUUUGCCACAGUUUUGGAUAAUCAAUCUACUAGCAAAUUAUUAGGCUGAUUUUGCUGGAUUUGUUGAUUAUUAGUUAAAUUUAUUUUUAUUGGUUAAUUGACAAAUUGUUACUACAAUCAUUGUGGUUAUGAGCUGUUACCUUCUACCCUGUUACUGCUUGUGUGGUUCUUAUAGUCUGACUAGGUAUUAUGGUAAGCUAGUUUCCCGUAGUGUUUAUUUUUUGUAUGUGCAGCUAGUACCAUUGAAUAAUAUGUCUUACUUUUACUAAGGACUCCUAUUUUCUGAACAUUAGAUGUGUUAUCACCCAACUGAAUCUUUGCCUACAAAGUAUUCUUUGAUCUGAACUGUAGUCUUUUGCUCCAUCACACAUGGGAAUACUUGUGACAGGUUUUUAUGGUUCACUCACUUCAUUUUACAAGGUAGCUAGAUUUUUGUGUCUGUGCAUGUCAUUAUCUGUGACGAAGAAACAAACUCCAAGAUAGGUUGCAUAUAGUUAAUUUUCUAUACACGUGACAUUAUCUGCAAAAAUGUUCUCCCGUUGUGGUUUUUCUAUUGCAGGUGGCAGUGACUAAGACUAGGUCACAACUCACAAAGGAAACUGCAAGAGUGAAUACACAAGCUUAGGUUCCAGUGAGCUCAGCAUGAUAUAUCCAAGACCAAGGGGAUAAACACUGUAUCAUUUAAGUCUACACAUUCAACAUGUUGUUUUCAUGAAAAUGACUUCAGUCUACAAAUGCCAAUGUGUACGUGGUCAGAAGCUAGCUGAAAAAACGGCUACAAGGGACAAGAUGGGUCUUAAGGCAGACAGAAAAAGUUAAAUUUAUUGUUCAAUUUGUAUUCCUUGACUCACCUAGAUGCUCAUUUGAUAAGAAGUCUAUUUGCAAAAUACGUAUGACUUUA
Molecule: long non-coding RNA, 2535 nt
Organism: Panicum virgatum (switchgrass)
Lineage: Eukaryota; Viridiplantae; Streptophyta; Magnoliopsida; Poales; Poaceae
Exons: 4
Source: RefSeq, a predicted model, not a curated record